CUUGUAGGCUGGAAUGUGAAGAUGCCAACAUGAGCUGAUUUUCUGGCUAUCAUUUAUGCUAUGAAUAUUUUAUGAACCAGCUUGAUGGCUGGGAUAGAGAGACAGAAAAAAGUGAAACAACCCACUUCAUUGAGGGUGAGCUCCUUCAGACUAAUGUAAGGCAAUUUGAAAGCCUCAACACCAGAUGUGAAUGUGAAUUUGACUUAAGGGCUCAAGUCCCAAAAUCACAAUGAAGAGAUAAAGCUGACAGAGCAGAGAAACAAACUCUGCCCAAAAAGAGACAUGAGAUGCCGUGAUCCGUAUCAGCCUGUUGCCACCAACAUUCUCCUCCUUUGGAUUGGAGUCAAAUGCUGACCCAUCACUUGGAGCAUGGCCUGAAGGUUGUUUCUCAUAAUCUUUUUGGAAUUGGGCUCAAAUCCACUGCCCUGAAACAGCUCAAGAAAAUGAAGGGAAUCGCUAAAAUUCCCAAGGGCUACUCUGGUUUGGGGAAAUCAUCUCUGCAGUUGUAGGGCUUUUUUUUUUGAACAUGGUCUAUGUGGGAAACAGUUUCCUGCUUCUCUCUGAUGUAAUUCUGCCAAGACAUAUUUGGAGUGUUUAUUGGUGCCAGUUUUUGCUUUAUUUUUGGAAAAUGUUCUUCACACCUGGGUCUUGAAAGACCCGCAGACCCAGAGCAGCGUGAGCUGAGCUGCCUCACACAAGCAUGUCUUUCUGUGGCAAUGAUCUCAUGCAGUUGAGAAGGUCAGAAGUGAAAACGCUAACAUCUACUGCCUCAGUUGCCCACAGCUCUUCUCACAUCCCCAGCCAAACCAGAGUCAACCUUGAGGGAGCCUCAGGAAAUGUGAAAUUGGAUUUUUGACCUCACCCAGCUGUGCAGAGUCACUAACAACCUCUGUAUGUGGAGGUGGCCCACAGCCUUCAGUCAGGCUACUGCUCCUUCACCUGGUCAUCUCUUAAUGCUUUUCAUGGUUCUAAGGAAGACAAAGGAGUCCUGCUGGCUUGAGUUAUCCUGUUCAUUUCCACCUCUUCUGCUGUUAAGAAGAUCCUCAGCUGGUCCAGGCUUGACUCAUUUAUGGACUAGGACCAUUUAUCAGGGUGGUGGGAGUACUUCAUAACUACUCUACUAAUGAUGAGAAGGAUGAGGUCAGUCCUCUCAGGUAGUUAUAAGUGGUAGUUAUGAGUAUCAAACUCAUCAAAAGAGUUACAAAGCAGUGUUUU
Molecule: long non-coding RNA, 1215 nt
Filed under: Calidris pygmaea (Spoon-billed sandpiper)
Lineage: Eukaryota; Metazoa; Chordata; Aves; Charadriiformes; Scolopacidae
Description: lncRNA (ENSCPGG00000008873.1)
Source: RNAcentral